GGAUGAGAAGGGCGCAAGCCUGAUCCAGCAAUGCCGCGUGAGUGAUGAAGGCCUUCGGGUCGUAAAGCUCUUUUACCAGGGAUGAUAAUGACAGUACCUGGAGAAUAAGCUCCGGCUAACUCCGUGCCAGCAGCCGCGGUAAUACGGAGGGAGCUAGCGUUGUUCGGAAUUACUGGGCGUAAAGCGCACGUAGGCGGCGACACAAGUCAGAGGUGAAAGCCCGGGGCUCAACCCCGGAACUGCCUUUGAA
RNAcentral lists this ribosomal RNA (250 nucleotides) under uncultured bacterium. RNAcentral describes it as "partial 16S ribosomal RNA". It matches the Rfam family "Bacterial small subunit ribosomal RNA", at positions 366 to 631 of the family's 1533-position model. The record is from RNAcentral.